ACUACUAUGGACUAAUUGAAUAAAGCGUCCGCCUCAGAUGCGGAGGGCCGCGGUUUCGAACCCUGGUCUAGUAAUA
Non-coding RNA from Potamilus streckersoni, 76 nucleotides. NCBI's taxonomy places the organism in Eukaryota, Metazoa, Mollusca, Bivalvia, Unionida, Unionidae. The record is from the annotation of a GenBank genome assembly.